GACGAACGCUGGCGGCGUGCUUAACACAUGCAAGUCGAACGGCAACGCCCUGCUUUCGUGGGGUUCUCGAGUGGCGAACGGGUGCGUAUCACGUGUGUAACCUGACCUUGACUUUGGUAUAACUUCAGGUAACUGGGGCUAAUACCGGAUAGGAGCUCCUGCUGCAGGGUGGGGGUGGGAACGUUUCGGCGGGUGGGGAUGGACUCGCGGCUGAUCAGCUUGUUGGUGGGGGAGUUGCUUGCCAAGGAUUUGACGGGUAGCCGGCAUGAGAGGGUGGCCGGCCACAAUGGUACUAAGAUACGGACCAGACUGCUACGGGGGGCAGCAGGGGGGAACAUUGCCCAACGGGCGGGCGCCUGAUGCAGAGGCGCCCCGUGCGGGAUGACGGCCUUUGGGUUGUGAACAGCUUUCGCCUGUGACGCAGCGGGAGUGACGGUAAUGAAUAAAGAAGCACCGGCUAACUACGUG
RNAcentral lists this ribosomal RNA (468 nucleotides) under uncultured bacterium. RNAcentral's name for it is "partial 16S ribosomal RNA". It matches the Rfam family "Bacterial small subunit ribosomal RNA", at positions 28 to 507 of the family's 1533-position model. The record is from RNAcentral.